Molecule: ribosomal RNA, 253 nt
Filed under: uncultured bacterium
Lineage: Bacteria
Description: partial 16S ribosomal RNA
Rfam family: Bacterial small subunit ribosomal RNA
Source: RNAcentral
UACGGAGGAUGCAAGCGUUAUCUGGAAUGAUUGGGCGUAAAGCGUCCGCAGGUGGCAAUGUAAGUCUGCUGUUAAAGAGUCUAGCUCAACUAGAUAAAAGCAGUGGAAACUACAUAGCUAGAGUACGUUCGGGGCAGAGGGAAUUCCUGGUGUAGCGGUGAAAUGCGUAGAGAUCAGGAAGAACACCGGUGGCGAAGGCGCUCUGCUAGGCCGUAACUGACACUGAGGGACGAAAGCUAGGGGAGCGAACAGG